RNAcentral lists this ribosomal RNA (240 nucleotides) under uncultured bacterium. Its description in RNAcentral is "partial 16S ribosomal RNA". It matches the Rfam family "Bacterial small subunit ribosomal RNA", at positions 116 to 354 of the family's 1533-position model. The record is from RNAcentral.
CGUGAGUAACCUGCCUUGGAGUGGGGGAAUAACAGCUGGAAACAGCUGCUAAUACCGCAUAAAACGUCUGUGUCGCAUGGCACUGGACGUCAAAGAUUUAUCGCUCUGAGAUGGACUCGCGUCUGAUUAGCUAGUUGGUGGGGCAACGGCCCACCAAGGCGACGAUCAGUAGCCGGACUGAGAGGUUGGCCGGCCACAUUGGGACUGAGACACGGCCCAGACUCCUACGGGAGGCAGCAG